GAUGAAGAACGUAGCGAAAUGCGAUACGUAAUGUGAAUUGCAGAAUUCAGUGAAUCAUCGAAUCUUUGAACGCACAUUGCGCCUGCCAGCACUCUGGCAGGCAUGCCUGUUCGAGCGUCAUUUCAACCAUCAAGCCCUAGGCUUGCGUUGGAGCCCUGCGGCUGCCGCAGGCCCCUAAAAGCAGUGGCGGGCUCGCUAUCACAUCGAGUGCAGUAGAUUACUCUUCGCUCAGGGCGUGUGGCGGGUUCCAGCCGUGAAACCCCCUACUUCUCAAGGUUGACCUCGGAUCAGGUAGGAAUACCCGCUGAACUUAAGCAUAUCAAUAAGCGGAGGA
This 334-nucleotide unclassified non-coding RNA is filed under the name soil metagenome. Its description in RNAcentral is "partial contains 5.8S ribosomal RNA, internal transcribed spacer 2, and large subunit ribosomal RNA". The stretch from base 1 to 120 matches the Rfam family "5.8S ribosomal RNA", at positions 35 to 154 of the family's 154-position model. The record is from RNAcentral.